UUAAACUGAAGAGUUUGAUCAUGGCUCAGAUUGAACGCUGGCGGCAGGCCUAACACAUGCAAGUCGAGCGGUAACAGAUCUAGCUUGCUAGAUGCUGACGAGCGGCGGACGGGUGAGUAAUGCAUAGGAAUCUGCCCGGUAGUGGGGGAUAACCUGGGGAAACCCAGGCUAAUACCGCAUACGUCCUACGGGAGAAAGGGGGCUUCGGCUCCCGCUAUUGGAUGAGCCUAUGUCGGAUUAGCUAGUUGGUGAGGUAAAGGCUCACCAAGGCAACGAUCUGUAGCUGGUCUGAGAGGAUGA
RNAcentral lists this ribosomal RNA (300 nucleotides) under Halomonas sp. ALS9. RNAcentral describes it as "partial 16S ribosomal RNA". It matches the Rfam family "Bacterial small subunit ribosomal RNA", at positions 1 to 303 of the family's 1533-position model. Lineage: Bacteria; Pseudomonadati; Pseudomonadota; Gammaproteobacteria; Oceanospirillales; Halomonadaceae. The record is from RNAcentral.